AGCAUUUCUUUUCGGAGAAGAUGGCGACCGGCGCACGGGUGCGUAACGCGUAUGCAACCUACCCUUAACUGUAGGAUAGCCCGGAGAAAUCCGGAUUAAUACUACAUGGUACUAUAAUAUGGCAUCAUAUAAUAGUUAAAGAUUUAUUGGUCAAGGAUGGGCAUGCGUGACAUUAGCUAGUUGGUACGGUAAUGGCGUACCAAGGCAACGAUGUCUAGGGGUUCUGAGAGGAAGAUCCCCCACACUGGUACUGAGACACGGACCAGACUCCUACGGGAGGCAGCAGUGAGGAAUAUUGGUCAAUGGGCGAGAGCCUGAACCAGCCAUGCCGCGUGCAGGAAGACGGCCUUCUGGGUUGUAAACUGCUUUUAUACGGGAGCAAAAGGGUCCUGCGGGACACAUUGAGAGUAUCGUAUGAAUAAGCACCGGCUAACUCCGUGCCAGCAGCCGCGGUAAUACGGAGGGUGCAAGCGUUGUCCGG
RNAcentral lists this ribosomal RNA (481 nucleotides) under uncultured bacterium. RNAcentral describes it as "bacterial SSU rRNA". It matches the Rfam family "Bacterial small subunit ribosomal RNA", at positions 68 to 548 of the family's 1533-position model. The record is from RNAcentral.